UUGGAGGGCAAGUCUGGUGCCAGCAGCCGCGGUAAUUCCAGCUCCAAUAGCGUAUAUUAAAGUUGUUGCAGUUAAAAAGCUCGUAGUUGAAUUUCGGGGUUAGUAGGUUGGUCAUGCCUCUGGUAUGUACUGGUCUCACUGAUUCCUCCUUCCUGAUGAACCUUAAUGCCAUUUAUUUGGUGUUUUGGGGAAUUUGGACUGUUACUUUGAAAAAAUUAGAGUGUUUAAAGCAAGCUAACGCUUGAAUACAUUAGCAUGGAAUAAUGAAAUAGGACGUUCGAUCCUAUUUUGUUGGUUUCUAGGAUUGACGUAAUGAUUAAUAGGGAUAGUUGGGGGCAUUAGUAUUCAAUUGUCAGAGGUGAAAUUCUUGGAUUUAUUGAAGACUAACUUCUGCGAAAGCAUUUGCCAAGGAUGUUUUCAUUAAUCAAGAACGAAAGUUAGGGGAUCGAAGACGAUCAGAUACCGUCGUAGUCUUAACCAUAAACUAUGCCGACUAGGGAUCGGAUGAUGUUAAUUUUUUAAUGACUCAUUCGGCGCCUUACGGGAAAC
RNAcentral lists this ribosomal RNA (549 nucleotides) under uncultured Glomeraceae. Its description in RNAcentral is "SSU rRNA". It matches the Rfam family "Eukaryotic small subunit ribosomal RNA", at positions 548 to 1098 of the family's 1831-position model. The record is from RNAcentral. Lineage: Eukaryota; Fungi; Glomeromycota; Glomeromycetes; Glomerales; Glomeraceae.